Molecule: small RNA, 355 nt
Filed under: Histoplasma capsulatum
Lineage: Eukaryota; Fungi; Ascomycota; Eurotiomycetes; Onygenales; Ajellomycetaceae
Also listed under: 1 other name
Description: hypothetical RNA
Source: RNAcentral
ACUGGAACUUUCCUUUUCCUUUCCUUGCUUGUUGGUCGUGGAUUCUCCAAAUUUCCGAUAACACUGAGCAAAAAGUCUCUUUAUGCAUGAUCUUCGUCCUCCAGGAGCCGUGCCUCUGAAAGAAAGAAAGAAUGAAAGAAUGAAUGAAUAAAUGAAUGAUGUGAUGAAGAGGAACUAACGAGCUAAUUCUCAGGGUGCAUUGGGAAUAAUAGUUGAUUGGUGCACACAUUCCUUCCACUGGGAGCUUGCUGCCCUGAGCAAUGCAUCCAUCUCAUCAUUGAUAUGCCGCUCUGCCUUUGCAGGUCUUGUCGUGGUGGAAAAUCAAGAAAUUCACCGCCGAUCCUUGCUUGACGCU